Long non-coding RNA from Tripterygium wilfordii, 595 nucleotides. RefSeq lists it as uncharacterized. The transcript is spliced from 2 exons. Lineage: Eukaryota; Viridiplantae; Streptophyta; Magnoliopsida; Celastrales; Celastraceae. The record is from RefSeq and is a predicted model, not a curated record.
AGCACCGCACCGACUCUUCACUCAUCCAGAAUCCAUCUCCGACAACACUUCCUAUUCACUCAACCAAGCGAACCACGACACCGACUCUUCACUCAUCUCGCCUGACGGAUGUGACCUGAAGAAAAGGCCUUGCUGAUCUAUCUGAAGGAGUUUUUGGUUCUGAUUCAAAUCGUGAAUUCGCUACUUGAGAGUUUUCCUCUCCUCUUGGGUCUUCGGGUUCUGCGCACUGGAAGUCUUGCUUCCAAUCGGCUGAGAUGAGUGAAGCGGAGGUCGGAGGAGGAGGUGUUGAUGCAGUAAGAAGUUUUGGUGAGAGAGGAGAAGGGGCUCUGAUGUGGGUAUAUAGUGUGAAGAUUUUUGACUAAAAUCUCAGUCAUUGAUGAGAUCCGACGGUUGAAAUUUCAGUUCAUGUAUUGACGAUAAAACACGUGUAUGCCACGUAGGUGUUCUGAUUGCCACAUGUGCAAAUUCUGACAAACUAGUACCAGAACAGUGAAAUUGGGACAUAUUUGAGUUGUUUUAUGAGACAUCGAGGAUAAAAAUGAGAAAUUUUAUACUUUAAGAAUAUAAAUGAGAAAAAUGGGAUACUUCAAGGGCA